RNAcentral lists this unclassified non-coding RNA (333 nucleotides) under fungal sp. RNAcentral's name for it is "partial internal transcribed spacer region". The stretch from base 1 to 46 matches the Rfam family "Eukaryotic small subunit ribosomal RNA", at positions 1786 to 1831 of the family's 1831-position model. The record is from RNAcentral. Lineage: Eukaryota; Fungi.
AAGUCGUAACAAGGUUUCCGUAGGUGAACCUGCGGAAGGAUCAUUAUUGAAUAAACUUGGCAUGAGUUGAUGCUGGCUUUUUUAAUGAGCAAGUGCACACCUAUCCAAUUUUUAAUCCCCUGUGCACCUUUGUAAACCUGGACCUUUUCGAGAAAAGUAGUCAUCUGCUUCACUUGGUUUGAGAAUUGUCAUGCUUGCAAAAGUCAAGACUUUUCUUGUUUCAGAUUAUGUUUUCACCAUAUACUCUAAGAAAUUAUCAGAAUGUUAUUAUAUUGGCCUUGUGCCUUUAAAUAUAUAUAUAUACAACUUUCAACAACGGAUCUCUUGGCUUUC